AGUGAACGCUGGCGGUAGGCCUAACACAUGCAAGUCGAACGGCAGCACAGUAAGAGUUUGCUUCUACGGGUGGCGAGUGGCGGACGGGUGAGGGAUACAUCGGAAUCUACUUUUUCGUGGGGGACAACGUAGGGCAACUGAUACUACUACCGCAUACGUUCUACGGCUGAAAGCAGUGGUUCAUCGGAGCUUGCCUGUUUGUUUGAGACGGUGCCGGAUUAGCUAGUUGGCGUGGUAAGGGCCCACCAAGGCGACGAUCCGUAGCUGAUCUGAGAGGAUGAUCAGCCACACUGGAACUGAGACACGGUCCAGACUCCUACGGGAGGCAGCAGUGGGGAAUAUUGGGCAAUGGGCGCAAGCCUGACCCAGCCAUGCCGCGUGAGUGAUGAAGGCCUUCGGAUUGUAAAGCCCUUUUAUUAGGAAAGAAAAACAGCGGGAUAAUACCCGGAUGUUCUGACGGUACCCAAACAAUAAGCACCGGCUAACUUCGUG
This 492-nucleotide ribosomal RNA is filed under the name uncultured bacterium. RNAcentral describes it as "partial 16S ribosomal RNA". It matches the Rfam family "Bacterial small subunit ribosomal RNA", at positions 29 to 507 of the family's 1533-position model. The record is from RNAcentral.